UUGAUUAAAGCCAAAAAGAGGCAUAUCACUGUUAAUGAUACUACUGAGAUUUUAAUCUCUAAUCAAG
RNAcentral lists this transfer RNA (67 nucleotides) under Euphausia pacifica (North Pacific krill). RNAcentral describes it as "tRNA-Asn". The record is from RNAcentral. Lineage: Eukaryota; Metazoa; Arthropoda; Malacostraca; Euphausiacea; Euphausiidae.